GAUGAACGCUGGCGGCGUGCCUAAUACAUGCAAGUCGAGCGAACAGAUAAGGAGCUUGCUCCUUUGACGUUAGCGGCGGACGGGUGAGUAACACGUGGGUAACCUACCUAUAAGACUGGGAUAACUUCGGGAAACCGGAGCUAAUACCGGAUAACAUUUGGAACCGCAUGGUUCUAAAGUGAAAGAUGGUUUUGCUAUCACUUAUAGAUGGACCCGCGCCGUAUUAGCUAGUUGGUAAGGUAACGGCUUACCAAGGCAACGAUACGUAGCCGACCUGAGAGGGGGAUCGGCCACACUGGAACUGAGACACGGUCCAGACUCCUACGGGAGGCAGCAGUAGGGAAUCUUCCGCAGUGGGCGAAAGCCUGACGGAGCAACGCCGCGUGAGUGAUGAAGGGUUUCGGCUCGUAAAACUCUGUUAUUAGGGAAGAACAAACGUGUAAGUAACUGUGCACGUCUUGACGGUACCUAAUCAGAAAGCCACGGCUAACUACGUG
RNAcentral lists this ribosomal RNA (497 nucleotides) under uncultured bacterium. RNAcentral's name for it is "partial 16S ribosomal RNA". It matches the Rfam family "Bacterial small subunit ribosomal RNA", at positions 28 to 507 of the family's 1533-position model. The record is from RNAcentral.